UACACACCGCCCGUCACAUCACGAAAGCCGGCUGUACUAGAAGUCGCCGCGUUAACCCGCAAGGGAGAUAAGCGCCUAAGGUAUGGUCGGUGAUUGGGGUG
Molecule: ribosomal RNA, 101 nt
Filed under: uncultured bacterium
Lineage: Bacteria
Description: partial 16S ribosomal RNA
Rfam family: Bacterial small subunit ribosomal RNA
Source: RNAcentral